UGAGCAUCAGAACAAGAGAGAGAAGGAGCAGAGACACAGAGAAGCACGAUGGAAGAGUUCAAAUGGAUCAAAAUGUCUUUAUUUCUGAUACUGCUGCUUCACUUUACAGCUGCUACAGUAUCACCAUAUUACACCACGGACAUCAAGAGUGAAAUCCUGCUGGGGGAGGAGUUUGACUCUUCAGCUGUGUGUUCAUGUGUGCUGUCAAACAUCACCAUGAAUCCUGUCUGGUUUCUAAUAAACACCAUCUGAAGAAAACAAGCUGCAUUACUGCAAACACUUAUCUUAACCAACAAUCUUGUGAAAAUAAAAAAAAUAAAAACUUUUUGGUUGUUUGGCGUCUAUAGUCUAUAAUAUAAUCAAACAGUCUACCCCUAACCCUAAAAGUCAUUAUGAGGAAGUGACAUCAUCCUAAUUACAGGAAGUAGAUACAGCGUCUCUUGACUAAAGCACUAUUUUAGAAACAGUUCUGAGCAUCAGAACGAGAGAGAGAAGAAGCAGAGACACAGAGAAGCACGAUGGAAGAGUUCAAAUGGAUCAAAAUGUCUUUAUUUCUGAUACCGCUGCUUCACUUUACAGCAGCAGCUGGAAACCAUUUCCUCUCCUUCACUGUCAGAGCUGGAAAUGAAGUCACUUUGCUUUACUUCACUUUACUUUGAACAUGUGAUAGACGGUCAG
Long non-coding RNA from Perca fluviatilis (European perch), 678 nucleotides. RefSeq lists it as uncharacterized. The transcript has 3 exons. NCBI's taxonomy places the organism in Eukaryota, Metazoa, Chordata, Actinopteri, Perciformes, Percidae. The record is from RefSeq and is a predicted model, not a curated record.